UGUUGACUCCCAAAAUGUGGUAUAUUUUUAACUCAAUUUGCAUGUUCAUGGAACAUUGUUUUUCCCACAUUUUACUCAUAGGUUUAACUGCUCCAAGGCGAGAGUGUACCUCACCGAGUGUCAUCAUUAAUUUUGUUGACUUUUUCAGAGAUUGCUGCUAAUUCUGCUACGUCAGUCCUUGAACAAAAUGAUUUUUGACGACCACAUAAAUGUGAACGUUAUACUGUCCACCGACUUGUACUGCCUUAGAGGACGGCAUUGCCUGCUACAAUAUGGCGGCCGCUCUGACGUACGAAGAGGGGCUGGACACCUUUUGCAGUAUCUCCAGUUGUCUAAUGCACUUUUUACCGCCCCUUUCAGAAUUGACCAAUCAAGAGCGGAGGUUUUGGUUCACGCCAAAGAAAGUCUUCCGGAAAGGAAUAUUAUGGGCCCAAUCAAUUUUAUUAGAGUAAAUGGGAGUGUUUCCAAGUUAGUUUGACUUCAUAAUUGUGGACAUAUUUAAAAUCAAUGAUGGCGUAGAGCUUCUACGAUACGUUACCUUACGUUGAGCUGCUGACCAACCUGAGCCAAUAAUAACAAGGGAGGUAAUCUCUGUGGUUAAGUGAGGCCUAAUAAAAUCAACUGGUGCUUCCCCAAAUGCCACUCAUGCCACAUAGAUCGAAGCAUUAAGAGUCUCUCCCUCCAUAUAUGUACUACUGUGGUGCAAGCUCCAGUUUUCUAAUCCUUCACCAGUCUCGAUCUAAUUAAAGGCCUCAUCCGCGGCACCUCAUUUUCAAAAGUCACUCCCUUCAAUUACUGAUGACAAGUGAGCACCGACGCACAUUAACCUCCUACGUGAAGAGCUCCUUUAGCUGCCCACCAUCUCUCUCUCUGCAAUAACACAUUGGCAAAUCCAAAGGCAAUUUCACCUCUUUGGAAUUUGAUAAGACAGUGUUUUUCAUGCUAUGUUUUGCAAUAUGUUUUGGUCACGUGGCUCACUGCUGGCAAAGUCAGCAGCGAAGGCUCGUGCUGGGGUGUUAAUUAUUGUCUAUACAUGUUCCCCAUGUGAUUUCUCUGAGCUUCCUGCAAGCGAGACCAACAAGACUGACAAGACCUCAAAAACAGGAUAAGGAUCCACUUCAAAUGACUGCGUGCUAUGAGAGGCGUGACCUAUUUCUUCCACCUAUUUCACGUCGAAGCGCAUAUAAAACUGAUUGACUUUGCCACUAUUAAAACGGACACUGGGCUGUCGUAACUUGAUUGCACCAGUGACGGCUACGCUCAGCAAGGUUUAUGGAGAUAUUAACAUCGACCAAAUUAAAAGCGAAAUGGGAUUCAUCUUAUCAUGGUCUGAUGUAGAGUAGCUACUGCGUAAAUCUGAAGAAAAUAGAUGUUUACUAAUGUUCCCUGUAAGGAUUAAUUUCCUAACACUAUUAUGUUAACUAACAAGGUAGACACAUAAUGGUAAUUCGGCCAAAUAUAUUUUGAUCAAAAUCAGCAAAGGCCUGAUUUUUGGAUGUCUCUCAAAGAGUAUCCUGAGAUAUCUGGUGCUGUAGGAGUCGAGUAAUUUCUCCACCCCUGCCGACUUAGAAAGCAAUCUAGGCUGAUGAUCGUUAACAGUUGAACAUGUUCAAAAUUUAUGAUCACUAGUCUUUACGUUGAAGGUCUUCACCAAGUUGGACCAAACCCUGUGAUUGUGACAAACUGAAUCAUCGACAGUCAGGAAGCUGUCUUAUGGUCAUCCUACUGCCGGAGAUAAAUAGAUGAAUUAAUGUGGUGCUGACACAAGUCGCCACAGGAAAAAAAAACAGGACACGAGUUCCUACAAAGAUAAGCUCACAGUUAGGCUAGCUUCUUUUUCAACUACUACCCAUAGUCUUUCUUUUUUGCAUUUUUUGUCAGUCUGGAAGCCUGGUGGAACCAUUUUGCCUCACACUGUCAAUUGGCACGCCGUAAGUAGGAGACGUGAUUGUCAGUGGAGCUAUCGUUAUGUGUUGUGUUAUGUUGCUGAUCUCAAGUACACCACACACUAUAAUAAGAGGAGUAAGAACAAAUGUCACUUUUCCCUUCCCAUGGUGGGGUCUCACACAUUUUGAAUAUCGGUAUGUAACACGCUCUGUGGCAAUAUCCUGCUUUGCUGGUUUUGGACAGCAAAAAUAGAAAAAUAGUGUACGUGCUGUUACAAUUCUGAUCACAUUGUCACAGAGGCCUUCUUUUUUAAGACUUAAAGUUCUAUUUCACCGGCAAGAGAUGGAAUGUAAACCCCAUAAACAAGUAAGUAAAAGUCCAUGUCAUAAACUACUAGAUCACACUAAAAGUUCAUACUGGCACUUGCUGCUAGAGGAAGGGUUCGUCACUUAGCCUGAAUAAAGAAUAAAAUAAAAUGUCAUGUUGAAUUUGCUAUUUCCUCAGCAAAUUUUGACAGAGAUUGCAGAAACAGGAAGCCAGGCAGACACCCAUCAAGGAAGUGACUGAAACCAGUAUUCAUAAACAUGUUUGUGUCUGUAAAUUAAUUUCAACAUAAUAUAUCCUGUUGUUGUUGUUUUAAAUCUCUCUCUUUCAU
This is a long non-coding RNA of Syngnathoides biaculeatus (alligator pipefish), 2542 nucleotides long. RefSeq lists it as uncharacterized. The record is from RefSeq and is a predicted model, not a curated record. Lineage: Eukaryota; Metazoa; Chordata; Actinopteri; Syngnathiformes; Syngnathidae. The transcript has 3 exons.